UACGUAGGGGAAGCGUUGUCCGGAAUUAUUGGGCGUAAAGGGCACGCAGGCGGUCCUUUAAGUCUGAUGUGAAAUCUUGCGGCUUAACCGCAAGCUGUCAUUGGAAACUGAAGGACUUGAGUGCAGAAGAGGAGAGUGGAAUUCCACGUGUAGCGGUGAAAUGCGUAGAGAUGUGGAGGAACACCAGUGGCGAAGGCGACUCUCUGGACUGUAACUGACACUGAGGCACGAAAGCGUGGGUAGCAAACAGGAUUAGAUA
Molecule: ribosomal RNA, 259 nt
Filed under: uncultured prokaryote
Description: partial 16S ribosomal RNA
Rfam family: Bacterial small subunit ribosomal RNA
Source: RNAcentral